AUGGCGGAUGCCUAGGCUCACGGAGGCGAUGAAGGACGUGAUAAGCUGCGAUAAGCUUCGGGUAGGUGCAAAUAACCCUUGAUCCGAAGAUUUCCGAAUGGGACAACCUAGCCGUCUGAAGGACGGUUACUCAAUCUUCAAGGUUGAGAGCUAACGCAGGGAACUGAAACAUCUUAGUACCUGCAGGAAGAGAAAAUAAAUGAAUGAUUCCCCCAGUAGUGGCGAGCGAACGGGGAACAGCCCAAACCAGUGGCGUCGCAAGGCGUGGCUGGGGUUGUAGGACCGCGACAUUGUACUGAAAUGGUGAGUGGAAGUAUCUGGAAAGUUACAUCACAGAAGGUGAUAAUCCUGUACACGAAGCCAGAUCAGGCAUAGCGGUAUCCUGAGUAACGCGGGACACGAGGAAUCCUGCGCGAAUCUGCCGGGACCAUCCGGUAAGGCUAAAUACUCCCGUGAGACCGAUAGCGAACGAGUACUGUGAAGGAAAGGUGAAAAGAACCCCGAGCAGGGGAGUGAAAUAGUUCCUGAAACCAUACGCCUACAAGCGGUCGGAGCACAGCAAUGUGUGACGGCGUGCCUUUUGCAUAAUGAUCCUACGAGUUACCGUCACUGGCGAGGUUGAGUGUCACGAGACACGUAGCCGCAGUGAAAGCGAGCCUGAAGAGGGCGCACAGUCAGUGGGGGUAGACGCGAAACCAAGUGAUCUACACUUGGCCAGGAUGAAGUCCCGGUAACACGGGAUGGAGGUCCGCACCAAUAAGCGUUGAAAAGCUUCUGGAUGAGCCGAGUGUAGGAGUGAAAGGCCAAUCAAACUUGGAGAUAGCUCGUACUCCCCGAAAGGCAUUUAGGUGCCGCGUCGGAUGGUCACCGUGAGAGGUAGAGCGACCGAUAGGACAAGAGGGCUUCACCGCCUAUCGAGUCCUGACGAACUCCGAAUGCUCACGGUCUGCAGUCCGGCAGUAAGGGGGCGGGUGCUAAGGUCCGUCCCCGAGAGGAGAAGAAUCCAGACCGCCGUCUAAGGUCCCGGAGUUCUGCCUGAGUUAGUCUAACGAAGUCUGGUCCCUAUGACAGCUAGGAUGUUGGCUUGGAAGCAGCCAUUCAUUCAAAGAGUGCGUAACAGCUCACUAGUCGAGGGUCCGGGCAUGGAUAAUAAUCGGGUAUAAGGCAGACACCGAAGGCGCGGGAUAGCAUUAAAGAAAGUAUCGGUAGGGGAGCAUACUCACAGCGUCGAAUGGUGUACGUAAGUUAUCCUGGAGCGGUGAGUAAAGCAAAUGUAGGAAUAAGUAACGAUAAGGAGGGUUAGAUUCCCUCCCGCUGUAAGACCAAGGUUUCCCGGGCAAUGCCAAUCAGCCCGGGGUCAGUCGGGUCCUAAGUCUAAGCCGAACGGCGAUGGCGAUGGCAGAGACGGUUAAUAUUCCGUCACUGCCGCAUGGGGCGACGUGGAGACGGAGCAGUGAAACCACCGCGGGGCGACGGAAGUCCCCGUUGAAGGGUGUAGGCGUUGAGGAUGGCAGGCAAAUCCACCAUCCGAGCUGAACCUGACAGUACGGAGUCCUCCUCGGAGGAAUCUGAUAGUGUGGGUAAUCAUACUCCCGAGAAAAUCCGCUAAGCUUAACCCAUGCGGCACCCGUACCGCAAACGGACACACGUGGUCGGGUAGAACAUACUAAGGCGUUGAGAGAUUCAUGGUUAAGGAACUAGGCAAAUUGACCCUGUAACUUCGGGAUAAAGGGUCCUCGUGAUGAGCGAGGCGCAGAGAAUAGGUCCAGGCAACUGUUUAACAAAAACACAGGGCUGUGCAAACUCGAAAGAUGACGUAUACAGCCUGACACCUGCCCGGUGCCGGAAGGUUAAGAGGAGAUGUCACUCGCAAGAGGAAGCAUUGAAUUGAAGCCCCGGUAAACGGCGGCCGUAACUAUAACGGUCCUAAGGUAGCGAAAUUCCUUGUCGGGUAAGUUCCGACCUG
This 1966-nucleotide ribosomal RNA is filed under the name human gut metagenome. RNAcentral's name for it is "bacterial LSU rRNA". It matches the Rfam family "Bacterial large subunit ribosomal RNA", at positions 21 to 1990 of the family's 2925-position model. The record is from RNAcentral.